GGGAAGUCUGAACGAUCAUGAGUGGCUUACGACAUUCUGUCAACACUCAGCACGUCUGCCCGCUCUCGCAGUGCAGUGCUCUGUUAAAGGGAGGCAAGCCAUGCUCCGCGAUCCGUCUUGCCCUUAACCUCACCUGAAACAAACGGGGAAAGUGUAGCGGCGGCUGCGGCUCGGUGGCUGGUCAAAGGGACGCCAUACCGUUCCGCCCAGCCGAUGAAAGGUCGCGCUUGGUCAUUUCAAAUCAUGGGACGCUGAUUCCGGAGCACUGAGCUGAACGACUCUUUGACAAAGGCGGAAGAUGCCAAACUAACCGAGAGAGAGAGAGAGAGAGUUCGGAAAAAGGUUUCCGAGAAACUGCAGCUGCAAGAAGAUACGGGAGAGGAUUUUCGCCCACCCUUGUGUUUUAUUCUAAACAACAGCACGGUUAUAUUACUAACACAAAACAGCCGCGAAACUUGCCAGUGUGGACAAGAUAACCGAGCAUCGAAUUGGGGAGUCCUACACCUCUUACCGAGGAGCCACCGACCGAGGUACUGAGAGCCACAGCUAGUGGGAAAUAAAGUCAAGGAGCCGCGGCACUGGGUUAUGUGUUGUGUUUUACAAUCUGUAGCUCGUGUGAACACACACACACACACACACAUAACACACACAAAAAAAAGGGUGACUGAAUGGAGCCCGUCACUGGGCGGAAAACGAUGGGUAAGGUUAUUUUCGUUUGAAUCAUUUCAUUAAAGCAAAUCUUGUGUCUCCUUGCAGCCUCUACAAUGAAACGAAUCAAUUAAUUGAUGCUCAGAUUUUCUAUUUCUCUCUCUCUCUCCUCUCUUUCAAACUCCCUCAAUCCUCCACUCUGGAUGUCACUGGGGCAGGACAUACACCUGCCCGAGUCGGAAAGAAAAAAAAAGCUAGCUUCAAACAAAAAAAAACAAAAUGAUGUAAAACAAAAGUUUGGAGAUUCGGAAGAUUUGUCCGUAUUAAUUCAAACGAAAAGGAGCGAGGGAGACGGGAGGGUGGGGGGAAGAAAGGAAGCCGACUCCAAGCAGGGAUUGGAGGUCUGAACUCUUGCUUCAUGGAUUUCCUCCUUGUGGCUCUGAGUCUCCAGUGGCUGCUGCAGAAGCCUUCCGUUUGGCUGGCGUGUGUACUCGGCUUGUUGUUGGAGAUGUUGCCCGGCGCUGAGAGUGUGUGUGCCAGUCAGUGCCGCUGCGACGGGAAGCUGCUGUACUGCGAGUCGCAGAGCCUGGGCGAGAUGCCGCGGAACCUGUCGGGGCUGCAGGGUCUGUCGCUGCGCUACAACAGCCUGUCGGAGCUGCGAGCCGACCAGUUCGCCGGCGUGCUGCAGCUCACCUGGCUCUACCUCGACCACAACCACAUCUACUCGGUGGACGGCGCGGCGUUCCGCGGGCUGCGGCGCCUCAAGGAGCUGGUGCUCAGCUCCAACAAGAUCACCCAGCUGCCCAACUCCACUUUCCGACCCAUGCCCAACCUGCGCCAUGUGCAGCUUUCCUACAACAACCUGCAGGCUCUGGAGCCGGACCUUUUCCACGGCCUGCGCAAACUGCAAACGCUGCACCUGCGCUCCAACGCACUGAAGUACAUUCCGGUCCGAAUAUUCCAGGACUGCCGGAGUCUGGAGUUUCUGGACGUGGGAUAUAAUCAGCUGCAGAGCCUUGCCCGGAACGCGUUCGCAGGCUUGUUGAAACUAACCGAACUCCACCUGGAGCACAAUGAUUUGGUGAAAGUAAACUUUGCUCAUUUCCCACGGCUCCUCUCCCUGAGAACACUCUACAUGCAGUGGAAUAAAGUCAGUAUUGUAGUCAACUCUUUGGAGUGGACUUGGAACCAUCUAGAAAAAUUAGACCUCUCUGGGAAUGAGAUUGAGUUUAUUGAAUCUUAUGCCUUUGAAGUAGUGCCUAACCUCAAGAUACUUCAAUUGGAUUCAAACCGGCUAACCACCAUCGAACAAACAAUUCUGGAUUCCUGGAAAUCCUUAACCAGUAUCAGCCUUUCUGGAAACAGCUGGGAAUGCAGUCGGAAUAUCUGUGCUUUGGCCAACUGGCUAAGCAGUUUUAAGGGUCAUCAUGAAGGCAGUCUGUUGUGUGCCAGUCCUGUGCAUACCCAGGGUGAGGAGGUUCUAGACGCUGUGCACGGCUUUCACAUAUGUGAUGACUUGGUCACAAGCACACGGGCCCUUUCUGACAUGACCAGUGUGGCAGAAACAGACCAAGAUAUGACAGCAGUCAGAGAUGCUUCCAGCAUCUAUGUCACACAGGAUACAACUGGAAUAAAACCCACUGAUUUAAUCACUGUCACUACUGAGCUUUCUCAAGAUCACCAGGAAAAUACCAUUCAGGUUCACAAAGUAAUCACUGGCACCAUGGCAUUGCUUUUCUCCUUUCUGAUUGUGGUUUUGGUGCUGUAUGUUUCAUGGAAAUGUUUUCCUGCUGGCCUCAGGCACUUGAGGCAAUGCUUUGUGACACAGCGCCGCAAACAGAAACAGCAACAAACUAUGCAUCAGAUGGCAGCCAUGUCCACGCAGGAAUACUACGUGGACUACAAACCCAAUCAUAUUGAAGGGGCACUGGUAAUCAUUAAUGAUUAUGGAUCAUGUUCAUGUCAUCAACAACCAGCCAGAGAAUGUGAAGUGUAAUUUUCAUUCUGCCUCACUGGAAAUGCAACAUUACAAGUGGACAUUUCGCAGCUCGAGACUGACACACCGAAAAGGACCACUUUACAAUACUGAGUAUGAAUGAAUUACACACAGUACUGAUUCCAACAAACCUUGCACCAGGAUCUUUCAACAGUCCAAAUGAUAUUUAAGCUUCAAUGCAUCUUUAAACCAUUCAAAUCAUCCUCUGUUCGACUGUCAUUUGAAAUUUGUAAAAGGAAAAAAAAUGUAAAUGUAACUCUUCUCACCAGUUUCUUAUGAUAUUAAAUCCACCUGUAAGAUCUGGGAAUAAGGGAGUUCAAGGCUCAUCAAGGAUGAAAAUGGAACGGCUCAGUGGAUCAUUGCCGGUUCUGGACGAAUUUAUCAGCAGAUCUCUCGCCCGUGGCACAACCCUGGCAUUGGCUCUAGACUUUCAUAUUCUGUUACUUUCAUGUUUAAUUUUUCUUCGCUCCCACCAAAGCCGCCUUCCGCCAAAGCCUAGUUCUAGACUAAAAUAAUAACCGAGGGGAAGUCGCUGAUACUAAUCCACAAGAGACCAACUUUGAUCAGUAGUUUAUUUGGAGAGCAAUGGUGCCACCUAGUGACUUCCUCCACUGGCUUUACACUGAGAAAGCUUCGUAUUUAUAAAUUAACCAAAUAGAAAAUUCAGAUAAUUUAAAUAAAUAAGGAAUAGUUAAUCAUUUAAAAUACUAUAUAAUCUGCUGGUAAAUGAAGGAGUUUCAAAUCUUAAAUGUUAUUAAAUAUUGUGUUCUUACCAAUUUUAUGGUCCUAAACCAUCUCAAUCGCCUAAAAAGUUAGUGAAUCACGAAGACUUGGAUCACUACUGCUGGUGUCUGGCCAUCUGCCCAAUACCACCGAUUGUAAAUAGUAAUUUGAUUCUACUUUGGUAUCCUAGCAACUUAGCUGUUGUCAUGACAGUACAGUCAAUGUCCAUAACAAAAGCUUCUUUCUUCUUUUGGUUUAUUAUGGUCAAUCUGUGAAGCUGUAUCACAUUCAGAAAUGCCGUACGUAAAGAGGACAAAUCAGAAUCUUAUUAAACAUGUGAGGAAAAUUGCAAGUGCCACAAAAAUGGCGAUUCAAUGAUCUUUGAUCGAGAAAUGUUUUGAAAUUAAUAGCCCUUAUAAGCUAACAAAGUGUGUAGCUGGAUGAACAAAGCAAGCCAAGCAGCAUCUUGGAUUCUCCAGCGUCUGCAGUUCCCAUUAUCUCUAGCCCUUAUAAGCUGUUGGAUAAAGUAACAUUGUUUUCUUGUGCCCGUUUAUUCUGCAGAGUAGACCCAGUCGCCUUGGUAUGUAACACAUUCUUAGUACAGUUGUUCAGAAUUUACCAUUGUAACUUUAAAAUAACUUCUUUGUAUGUGCACUAAUGGUGCUCAUCUAAGUUAAUUUACUGAUGUGUGUGCUUGAUGAUGUUACAAAACCAGGAUCAUCCUGCGCAGAUAGUUGACAGCUCAAACACUUUAAACCUAAAAUAAAAAGCCGAAAGAACUGAGGAUGCUGUAAAUCAAGAACAAAAACAAAGUUGCUGGAAAAGCUCAUCAGUUCUCGCAUCUGUGAAAGAAAAAAAAGUUAACGUUUCGGUAACGUUUUGAAUCCUCAGUCCUGAGGAAGGGUCACCAAAUCC
Stegostoma tigrinum is the source of this 4282-nucleotide RNA transcript. It is a transcript of the gene named leucine rich repeat transmembrane neuronal 1, with no coding region annotated. Lineage: Eukaryota; Metazoa; Chordata; Chondrichthyes; Orectolobiformes; Stegostomatidae. The record is from RefSeq and is a predicted model, not a curated record. The transcript has 2 exons.